RNAcentral lists this transfer RNA (74 nucleotides) under Stegodyphus mimosarum. It matches the Rfam family "tRNA". Rfam says of the family: Transfer RNA (tRNA) molecules are approximately 80 nucleotides in length. Their secondary structure includes four short double-helical elements and three loops (D, anti-codon, and T loops). Lineage: Eukaryota; Metazoa; Arthropoda; Arachnida; Araneae; Eresidae. The record is from Rfam by way of RNAcentral.
GCUGUCCUGGUGUAUUUGGUUAGCAUGUCCAGCUAGUAACUUGAAGAUCCGUGGUUAAAAUCUCGGCGACGGCA